This 29-nucleotide non-coding RNA is filed under the name Mus musculus (house mouse). Lineage: Eukaryota; Metazoa; Chordata; Mammalia; Rodentia; Muridae. The record is from RNAcentral.
UUNGCCUAGAAUGUUCUGGAACUCAGCCU